This 407-nucleotide ribosomal RNA is filed under the name uncultured bacterium. RNAcentral's name for it is "partial 16S ribosomal RNA". It matches the Rfam family "Bacterial small subunit ribosomal RNA", at positions 30 to 526 of the family's 1533-position model. The record is from RNAcentral.
AUUGAACGCUGGCGGCAGGCCUUACACAUGCAAGUCGAGCGGAGCGGCGGACGGGGGAGUAAUGCCUAGGAAUCUGCCUGGUAGUGGGGGAGAACGUCCGGAAACGGGCGCUAAUACCGCAUACUAUCAGAUGAGCCUAGGUCGGAUUCGGUAGUUGGUGGGGUAAAGGCCUACAAAGGCGACGAUCCGAAACUGGUCUGAGUGGAUGAUCAGCCACACUGGAACUGAGACAAGGUCCAGACUCCUACGGGAGGCAGCAGUGGGGAAUAUUGGACAAUGGGCGAAAGCCUGAUCCAGCCAUGCCGCGUGUCUGAAGAAGGUCUUCGGAUUGUAAAGCACUUUAAGUUGGGAGGCGUUACCAACAGAAUAAGCACCGGCUAACUUCGUGCCAGCAGCCGCGGUAAUUC